UCUUCUUCCUCUGGUACUUGUAAUUAAUAGUUUGCCCUCCUGCCUCUAAUCAACUUGAAAAAUUAGCGGACAUAAAAUCCUUCAAAAAAUCGAAAAAUUUCAAUUUGCUAAAAUGGAUUUCAAAUUAUUCACAGUUCUCCAAUUGCUCUGCCUUGCGACAUCAUGUUUUGCGCAGCUGGCGCCAUGUCCAACCUGCAACGAAGAGGCGUGCUGUUCCGCCCAGUGUCCGAACAGUUUCUUUUGCUCAGUUACAAGUGGACAGGCUCCGGAGUGUUUUGACUCUGUCACUGGCAUGUUUUGGACAUCGCGAAUAUGCAAACGACCAAACUGCGAGUCUUGCACAUCCGCGCAAAUUUCAUGUGCCGGCGUGACUCGGAUUUGCCGAAGCACAGCGACGCAUGGCGUGUGUUCAUUCAACUAUUGAGGAAAUUGUUGGACUUGAUUUUUGAAAAGUACUAUUUUUAAAAAAGUUGCAAUUUUUCGAAAUUGCAAUUGCGAAUGUCUGAAUUUGAAAUUAAAAUGAAUCUUACCACAUCUCUGCAAAAUAUGAUAUUGUAUUAGAAUUAUUAAAUUGUAUGUAUAUUAGAUAAGAAGUGUGAUGAGCAGUUAGUAUAAUUUGAUUCUUGAAAAGUAUGAUGCAAAGUGUCCACUUUUAAUUCGACUUAAAAAACAUCCAGAUACGAUUUAAAGUGACAUAUGUAUUAUGGUUUUUUAGUCAACAUAAGCUUGUCUAAAAGUUUAACAAUAAAAUGUUUUUGAAUUCGCAUAUGUA
Molecule: long non-coding RNA, 772 nt
Organism: Folsomia candida
Lineage: Eukaryota; Metazoa; Arthropoda; Collembola; Entomobryomorpha; Isotomidae
Exons: 2
Source: RefSeq, a predicted model, not a curated record